Molecule: non-coding RNA, 208 nt
Filed under: Pseudomonas sp.
Lineage: Bacteria; Pseudomonadati; Pseudomonadota; Gammaproteobacteria; Pseudomonadales; Pseudomonadaceae
Also listed under: 1 other name
Source: RNAcentral
GUAGCCUUGCGGCCUUGAGGUUCCUUACGCGAGUGAGGCUAAGACGGGAAUGCGGUCCCAGAUCUGGAAAGUCCGCAGCUGCCCCCGCAACUGUAAGCGGUCAUGUUCGCUGCCGUGCCACUGCUCAACGAGCGGGAAGGCGCAGUGAAUGCCUUGAAGUUCAAGGCUCCCCGCAAGCCAGGAGACCUGCCUCUAAGCAUUCUCACUA